RNAcentral lists this transfer-messenger RNA (366 nucleotides) under Alphaproteobacteria bacterium. It matches the Rfam family "Alphaproteobacteria transfer-messenger RNA". From Rfam's summary of the family: Bacterial tmRNA, also known as 10Sa RNA or SsrA, is named for its dual tRNA and mRNA-like properties. Its role is to liberate the mRNA from a stalled ribosome. Lineage: Bacteria; Pseudomonadati; Pseudomonadota; Alphaproteobacteria. The record is from RNAcentral.
GACAUUGAAAUCGGGAACCCUUUGAUCUAUAAUAAUAGUGCUGGUCUUCGGGCCAGAGAUGACGCUGAACGCUUUGGCGGAAUAGGCGUAGUGGACCCGGGGGCAGAGCCCGGCGGCUCCACCACAAGCCCCUAACGGGGGUUUUUGUGGGGCCGAUUUAGGAUCGACACGCGUAGUAAAGGCCUUGGUUGUGUUCGGAAUGGUGUCCGCCGUAAAACGGGCCAAAAACGAUAGUUGCAAACGACAACAAUCGCUGGGACGAAAAGGUUGCUCUCGCAGCCUAAUUAAAUCCCAAUCUCAAUUCCUAGACCCCUAGCCGGGACUAGGUGGGGCUGGGGGCGGGCCUAACAACAGAACCGCCCCAUU